UACUUCAUUCAAUUCAUGGAACUUCGGCG
Molecule: non-coding RNA, 29 nt
Filed under: Macaca fascicularis (crab-eating macaque)
Lineage: Eukaryota; Metazoa; Chordata; Mammalia; Primates; Cercopithecidae
Also listed under: 1 other name
Source: RNAcentral